CCUACGGGGGGCAGCAGUGAGGAAUAUUGGUCAAUGGACGAGAGUCUGAACCAGCCAAGUAGCGUGAAGGAUGACUGCCCUAUGGGUUGUAAACUUCUUUUAUAUGGGAAUAAAAUGUUCCACGUGUGGGAUUUUGUAUGUACCAUAUGAAUAAGGAUCGGCUAACUCCGUGCCAGCAGCCGCGGUAAUACGGAGGAUCCGAGCGUUAUCCGGAUUUAUUGGGUUUAAAGGGAGCGUAGGUGGAUUGUUAAGUCAGUUGUGAAAGUUUGCGGCUCAACCGUAAAAUUGCAGUUGAAACUGGCAGUCUUGAGUACAGUAGAGGUGGGCGGAAUUCGUGGUGUAGCGGUGAAAUGCUUAGAUAUCACGAAGAACUCCGAUUGCGAAGACAGUUCACUGGACUGCAACUGACACUGAGGCUCGAAAGUGUGGGUAUCAAACAGGAUUAGAUACCCCAGUAGUC
This 460-nucleotide ribosomal RNA is filed under the name uncultured bacterium. RNAcentral describes it as "partial 16S ribosomal RNA". It matches the Rfam family "Bacterial small subunit ribosomal RNA", at positions 338 to 795 of the family's 1533-position model. The record is from RNAcentral.